Spinacia oleracea (spinach) is the source of this 75-nucleotide non-coding RNA. The record is from Rfam. NCBI's taxonomy places the organism in Eukaryota, Viridiplantae, Streptophyta, Magnoliopsida, Caryophyllales, Amaranthaceae.
AACCUAUUAGCUCAAGUGGUAGAGCACUAUGCAAAUGAUGCAUAGGGGAUGUGGGUUCGAUUCCUACAUAGGUUG